This 1541-nucleotide ribosomal RNA is filed under the name Salmonella enterica. RNAcentral describes it as "bacterial SSU rRNA". It matches the Rfam family "Bacterial small subunit ribosomal RNA". Lineage: Bacteria; Pseudomonadati; Pseudomonadota; Gammaproteobacteria; Enterobacterales; Enterobacteriaceae. The record is from RNAcentral.
AAAUUGAAGAGUUUGAUCAUGGCUCAGAUUGAACGCUGGCGGCAGGCCUAACACAUGCAAGUCGAACGGUAACAGGAAGCAGCUUGCUGCUUCGCUGACGAGUGGCGGACGGGUGAGUAAUGUCUGGGAAACUGCCUGAUGGAGGGGGAUAACUACUGGAAACGGUGGCUAAUACCGCAUAACGUCGCAAGACCAAAGAGGGGGACCUUCGGGCCUCUUGCCAUCAGAUGUGCCCAGAUGGGAUUAGCUUGUUGGUGAGGUAACGGCUCACCAAGGCGACGAUCCCUAGCUGGUCUGAGAGGAUGACCAGCCACACUGGAACUGAGACACGGUCCAGACUCCUACGGGAGGCAGCAGUGGGGAAUAUUGCACAAUGGGCGCAAGCCUGAUGCAGCCAUGCCGCGUGUAUGAAGAAGGCCUUCGGGUUGUAAAGUACUUUCAGCGGGGAGGAAGGUGUUGUGGUUAAUAACCACAGCAAUUGACGUUACCCGCAGAAGAAGCACCGGCUAACUCCGUGCCAGCAGCCGCGGUAAUACGGAGGGUGCAAGCGUUAAUCGGAAUUACUGGGCGUAAAGCGCACGCAGGCGGUCUGUCAAGUCGGAUGUGAAAUCCCCGGGCUCAACCUGGGAACUGCAUUCGAAACUGGCAGGCUUGAGUCUUGUAGAGGGGGGUAGAAUUCCAGGUGUAGCGGUGAAAUGCGUAGAGAUCUGGAGGAAUACCGGUGGCGAAGGCGGCCCCCUGGACAAAGACUGACGCUCAGGUGCGAAAGCGUGGGGAGCAAACAGGAUUAGAUACCCCGGUAGUCCACGCCGUAAACGAUGUCUACUUGGAGGUUGUGCCCUUGAGGCGUGGCUUCCGGAGCUAACGCGUUAAGUAGACCGCCCGGGAGUACGACCGCAAGGUUAAAACUCAAAUGAAUUGACGGGGGCCCGCACAAGCGGUGGAGCAUGUGGUUUAAUUCGAUGCAACGCGAAGAACCUUACCUGGUCUUGACAUCCACAGAACUUUCCAGAGAUGGAUUGGUGCCUUCGGGAACUGUGAGACAGGUGCUGCAUGGCUGUCGUCAGCUCGUGUUGUGAAAUGUUGGGUUAAGUCCCGCAACGAGCGCAACCCUUAUCCUUUGUUGCCAGCGGUUAGGCCGGGAACUCAAAGGAGACUGCCAGUGAUAAACUGGAGGAAGGUGGGGAUGACGUCAAGUCAUCAUGGCCCUUACGACCAGGGCUACACACGUGCUACAAUGGCGCAUACAAAGAGAAGCGACCUCGCGAGAGCAAGCGGACCUCAUAAAGUGCGUCGUAGUCCGGAUUGGAGUCUGCAACUCGACUCCAUGAAGUCGGAAUCGCUAGUAAUCGUGGAUCAGAAUGCCACGGUGAAUACGUUCCCGGGCCUUGUACACACCGCCCGUCACACCAUGGGAGUGGGUUGCAAAAGAAGUAGGUAGCUUAACCUUCGGGAGGGCGCUUACCACUUUGUGAUUCAUGACUGGGGUGAAGUCGUAACAAGGUAACCGUAGGGGAACCUGCGGUUGGAUCACCUCCUUA